CCAUAUUUGCUAUCCAUGUCCAUUUCUAUCAACCAAUCAAAAAUAAGAAUUUGAAUUAACUAAAUAUUAAUGAAAAAAAAAAUAUCUCUCUUGCCAUCUGUUUGUUGACAACUAGAAAAAGAGAGGAUUUUGGGGUAGUACCUACUGCCCACGUGUCAUCUCUCAAAUGGCCAUAAAGAAAAAGAAUAAAAAAGGGCCAGCUCUCUCCUCCAACGGUAAUAAAAAUAAGGAAAAGGAAAAAAACGAAGAAAAGGGGAAUUAAAAAAGGGCACCCUCAGAUUCGAUGGAGGGCCUCUCUCUCACACGUUGAAACGUCUCUCUGCUCACUAAAAAACAAAACAAAAGAAAUCGUUUUUCUUUCCACAAAAAAUCCCACAAACCACUUCAUCUUCUCCACCUACUUCACUUCCACGUCCGCCCUACCCUCUCAACCUUACCGCGCCGCUGACAAUUUCCGGCGAAAACUUCCACUUCCACCAAUCACAAACCCCAACAAUCUCCGGCCAAACCGCGCCGACGUCUGAAUAAGAAGUCUUCAUCAACCCCAAAACCAUUAGCGAACUCCCUCCGCUUUACCGCACUACACGCUGGCAAACCCUUGACCUCCUUCACCAACCUCUCAACCGGAAAACGAAACAUAAAUAACCAAAUAGCGUCGCCGCUCACCAUAUAAUCCCCACGUCGUGACAACCUCCUUCCCACAACAACCGACCCCCCUAAACGCAACCUUUGUUCUUCCCCUCUCAACCCAAUCGUCGCCGAUGUAGACCCUCAUUUCCGCCGCCGCUAACACCACCAUUAAAUUACUCAUCGUCUUCUUCCCGUUCUUACCCCCGGUCCAAGAUCUGUGACUCAACUCUCACGAUUAGAACGACCGGCGGUCGAUCUUGCUUCCGAGGCGUGCAAAUAGGAAUGGAGUGUUUGAACGUGGCGAGAGCGAAAAGUUUUUUUACGGUUUCAAUAAGAGCACGCUAAAAAAAUUAGUACCAACCAAGAAGAUUUCAGCAAUAGUAUUGACGAGGUGUCGGUAAAUAUCAAGUCAUUCCUCUUCAACUCUGUUUACAUCAUGUUCGUUGUUUCAAUUUUCGUUUCGGUUUGGAUUCAAGUUAUAUUUGGUUGUUGUAUGAGUUGUAUGGUAUAAGUAAAUUCCUGUCAGUUUUCGUAUGGUGUUUGGUUGUUUAUGUUGUAGUUAAUUUAAGCAUAUAGUUAAUUUAAGCGUAUUAAGUUGAUGUUGUAGGGUCAUGAUUUAUAAUCUGGAUUUAAUAAAAUAAUUUGGUGGUUCAUGUUUAAGUUAAGCAAAGAAGUUAUCAGAUUGUCGAAAGAUAAUUUCGAGUUUGUUUUUGUGAUAUCGGCCAUUUUCUUUUGUUUAGUUUAAUGUCGUUGGAAAAAUAUAACAAUGUGAACUGUGUAAUAAAUUGUUGCUAGACAUUUGCUUGCAUCGCGUUUUUGAAAGGAAGCUGCAAUAAGGUAUCGGAUUCAUGAUGAGACAUGAUGUAAGUGUUCAUGUGUGUAGUGUCAAAAGUUUUUUUUCCCUAUGGUUUUGCCAUACUGAAAAGUGUAUAUCUAUUACUAUUUUUCUGAAUAAGAUUUUGUUUACAUUAUUUGCUCUAUCACUAGUCAUUCUUAAGUGUUGGGUUAAAUUAGUGUUAUUUGGUUUAGGCCCAUUUAGUUCGUGUUGUUGGAACCCCC
This 1689-nucleotide long non-coding RNA is filed under the name Lathyrus oleraceus (garden pea). RNAcentral's name for it is "Pisum sativum (pea) long non-coding RNA (PSAT_LNC037950)". The record is from RNAcentral. Lineage: Eukaryota; Viridiplantae; Streptophyta; Magnoliopsida; Fabales; Fabaceae.